RNAcentral lists this ribosomal RNA (252 nucleotides) under uncultured bacterium. Its description in RNAcentral is "partial 16S ribosomal RNA". It matches the Rfam family "Bacterial small subunit ribosomal RNA", at positions 524 to 776 of the family's 1533-position model. The record is from RNAcentral.
UACGGAGGGUGCAAGCGUUGUCCGGAUUAUUGGGUUUAAAGGGUGCGUAGGCGGCUUUAUAAGUCAGUGUUGAAAUACUACAGCUUAACUGUGGAACUGGCAUUGAUACUGUAGAGCUUGAGUUCAGUCGAGGUAGGCGGAAUUGAUGGUGUAGCGGUGAAAUGCUUAGAUAUCAGGAGGAACACCAAUUGCGAAGGCAGCUCGCUGGGACGUUACUGACGCUGAGACGCGAAAGCGUGGGGAGCAAACAGG